RNAcentral lists this ribosomal RNA (1332 nucleotides) under Triticum aestivum (bread wheat). Its description in RNAcentral is "partial small subunit ribosomal RNA". Lineage: Eukaryota; Viridiplantae; Streptophyta; Magnoliopsida; Poales; Poaceae. The record is from RNAcentral.
AUGUCAUUCGCAUUAGAUAUUUUGGAACUCGGUGUAGUUUUCAAUCUGACGUUGAUGGUUCAUGGCUUCCGGAAGCCAUCCUCUCCGGUGAUGGGAGGAGUAUGCCGCGAGGAAGGUGUAGCAAAUAAGUGGCACCACAAGCACCGGGUGUUUCUGAAACAGCAUGACAUUCGCCUGAAGACAGUAACGCUGGAAAAAUAUGUACACUGCAAGAAAAACAUUGAAUUUGCAAAAUUCUUUGUUCGGAACGCAAAGGAGUUUGAGACUAUGAGGCUCAAGUUUCUCUCCCCCCAGACAACAUCACUGAAGGAUUUUAUGAACAUCAAGAAGAGAUGCUUUAAUGGGGCAACAAGGCUUCUAGACGUGCUCAUCUUAUAUUCGUCACCAUCCAUCUUCUUCUACUCCGAUCCAAGUAUCUGGACAUCAGAGCAAGAGCGAGAUGGUGAGAGAUCGGAGAUGGAGGCGAUUCAGACGACCACCGUACGUCUUAUCGAGGUGGUCACGGAGAGCAACCCGCAGCCCAACGCGCUGCAACGCCUCCAGGGGCUGCUGAUGUCCGCCACGGCGCAUUCCUUCUUCGACGCCAGCUUCGCCGCCUGGCUCAAGGGUGCACUGGAUGACUUCAUUCACAACUGCCCGCGUCCGAUUUUGGCGAUUGCAGCGGCUAUCGCCGGCGCGGAGCACCCCACUGAGCUCGCCUCGCUCAGGUCCAUCCUCCCCUCCGCAAGAUUUCCCCCUCCCGGCUUCUACCGCUCACCGAAAAUCCAGUCCCGUGCUAGGGUUCUCUACUCCGGCACACCCUUCAUCGUCGGCGCAUCUCUGGCGGGCUCUGGCAGCUCUUAUUCGUCGUCUACGGUGCCCGCAGUUGUCGGUCCACCUCGAGCAGGUCGGCGCGGAGGAUCUCCUCCCGCAGGUUCCAUAGACACAGCGCACCCUGCAGUUGCCGGUCCGGGACGAGGGCGGGCACAGCGAGCCUUGUCCUGCUCGACGACGAUGCUGACAAACACCGGUGCUCCUCCUGGUCGACCUCUAAGGAGGAGCGCCAGUACAGCAUCAGCACGCCCUGCAGCUGAACCCCCCUUCUCCACCCAUCCAGUGGCGUACAGGAUGUCAGCAAGAGGAGUUAGUGCAGAAUCAAUAUCAGAACCAUCAGAAGUUCAUGAUUGGACGUGUAUGUUGUUGUAUUUGGUAGUGCGAGGAGCAAAAUCUGAGAAGUUGUUGCGUUCAGGUUUAUGUGAGUUCUUGAUAUUGGUUUAUGGGAGCAGUUUCAACCACAACGACAUGCAUUUUGAUGACUUCGGUGUGCAGCCAGAAACAUCGGAUCACCCAUAG